ACAGGGUGACAGGUGGUGCAUGGUUGUCGUCAGCUCGUGUCGUGAGAUGUUGGUUAAGUCCCGCAACGAGCGCAACCCUCGACCUUAGUUGCCAGCAUUCAGUUGGGCACUCUAAGGGUGACUGCCGGCUAAAAGUCGGAGGAAGUGGGGAUGACGUCAAAUCAUCAUGCCCCUUAUGACCUGGGCUACACACGUGCUACAAUGGGCGGUACAAAGGGUCGCGAACCCGCGAGGGGGAGCCAAUCCCAAAAAGCCGCUCUCAGUUCGGAUUGCAGGCUGCAACUCGCCUGCAUGAAGCCGGAAUCGCUAGUAAUCGCGGAUCAGCAUGCCGCGGUGAAUACGUUCCCGGGCCGUU
Molecule: ribosomal RNA, 355 nt
Filed under: uncultured Anoxybacillus sp.
Lineage: Bacteria; Bacillati; Bacillota; Bacilli; Caryophanales; Anoxybacillaceae
Description: bacterial SSU rRNA
Rfam family: Bacterial small subunit ribosomal RNA
Source: RNAcentral